UUUUAAACACACAACCCUGAGUUAACUGUUGGUGGACUGAACCAUCAUUCCAGCUGUGUUGUACCUUAGCCUGCUCCCUGCAGCUGGUUUCUUUUGAAGGUCAGCCCAGCUUGACUUAGCCCUAACGUUGCUGCUGUUGCCAAUAAAGAAAACUUUCCUUUCUCCCACACUCUCAGUCAGUGUGCAGCUGAGUGCUAAGGCUUCUAUGCAGUCCCAUCACCACACAAAACCUGCAAAUGCCAAUUUGCAUUCUGGUCUCCUGCCUAUCAGUAGCAGAUGACAGCCAUACAGCAGAAUUGAGAUGUGACUCAUAUGUGUCACUCUUCUCCAUGAUAUAAUGGAUUGAACAUUGCUUAUGUCCAGCUGAACAGGUGACACUGGCUUUACUAGAAAUGUGCAACUUUAAAAGUUAGUUUAAACUUUAACCUGAUUAAUGGUAUCUGUAUACAACACUGCUGAAAUCAUCACAGGACCUCAGAAGAGUUGGUGAAGAGGUGAAUUUUGAAGAAAAGACGACCUCUGACAUAAGUGGGCAUUGAGGCCAUGACCAGGUCUUCACUGAGCAAUGGGCCUUGCAAAUAAGAUAUGAAAAUAUGAUUGUGGAACCUGAGCUGUAAAAUCCAGUCAAAUCAGGAAUUUAUUAACAGUGGAGUAAUGAAACCUGCUUUUCAUGUGUCUGAAGGCUGGAUUCCCUCAUGUGUCAUAAGGAGUAAGAUGACACAAGAAUGGAUGGAUGGACAACAUGGGAAGCACCUGCUCGCUGCAGGGAGGAAGAAGGAGGAUUCAAGAGAUGCAGGAAGAAAGCAUGUUGCAUUUUAAGGCUACAGGAGCAGUGAAAAGCAUAAUGCAACAAGUUCUUCAUGUAAUGGAGAAGCAAGCGAGAAGAGCUUUAUUUAAAGAAACACUACACAUAUAUAUAGGGUAACACAUGCAAAACAAAACAGAAAAGACUCGUUGGUCAAAGAAGGCAACACCUCUCUAAAAAACAUACUUUAGCAGAACAUCAUGUCUCUCAUGCACCCUGCAGGUGUUUAAUCAUUUUUAUAAUUCCUUGACCUUGUUAAGGCCUGAGAAAGGCAAGGCCUCAAGGCUGCCUUUUCCCUGGUUCCCAGCAGUAUCCAACGACAAAAGCAAAUAUAGGAAGAAUAAGAGGUAGAUAGUGAAAGGUAUCACAACCCCAAAACUCAAGUGAUUUACUGGAUGAUUUUACGAUAUCAUGAGGAAGUUGUCUUUUCAUUGAAGCUGAAACUUCUCAAAUUAGAGAAAUACAAAGACCUACUUGGAUACCCCACUAAAAUUAAAGAUGCCUGUCGUGGAAUGGGUGUUGGUGAAGCUGACAGAGGAAGAGGGAUUCACCAGCAUACCGGGCCCUCUUUGCCUGGUGGCAUUUUUGGGAGAUGAUCAGUCAGAGCUCUGCCUCAGAGGGAUGAUGGAAAUCACGUACUCUGUGUAAAGUGGAGUAAGCGCUUCUAUGUCUGACAAUUCCCUCGAAACAACCGUUUUGAAGAUAAAUGGAGAAGGGGGCCUU
Oenanthe melanoleuca is the source of this 1528-nucleotide long non-coding RNA. RefSeq lists it as uncharacterized. NCBI's taxonomy places the organism in Eukaryota, Metazoa, Chordata, Aves, Passeriformes, Muscicapidae. The record is from RefSeq and is a predicted model, not a curated record. The transcript has 3 exons.